RNAcentral lists this ribosomal RNA (376 nucleotides) under uncultured bacterium. RNAcentral describes it as "bacterial SSU rRNA". It matches the Rfam family "Bacterial small subunit ribosomal RNA", at positions 524 to 898 of the family's 1533-position model. The record is from RNAcentral.
UACGGAGGGUGCAAGCGUUGUUCGGAAUUACUGGGCGUAAAGGGCGCGCAGGCGGCCUGCCAAGUCAGAUGUGAAAUCCCACGGCUUAACUGUGGACGUGCAUUUGAAACUGGCGGGCUUGAGUACCAGAGGGGAAAGUGGAAUUCCCGGUGUAGAGGUGAAAUUCGUAGAUAUCGGGAGGAAUACCGGUGGCGAAGGCGACUUUCUGGCUGGAUACUGACGCUGAGGCGCGAAAGCGUGGGGAGCAAACAGGAUUAGAUACCCUGGUAGUCCACGCCGUAAACGAUGUGAACUAGAUGCAGGGGGUGUUGAUCCCCUCUGUGUCGCAGCUAACGCAUUAAGUUCACCGCCUGGGGAGUACGGUCGCAAGAUUAAA